AGAGUUUGAUCCUGGCUCAGGACGAACGCUGGCGGCGUGCCUAAUGCAUGCAAGUCGCACGCGCGGAGCUUGCUCCGUGAGUGGCGCACGGCUGAGGAUCACGUGGGAACAUGCCUCCUUGUGGGGGACAACAGCGCGAAAGCGCUGCUAAUCCCGCAUACGCUCGGGCAACCGAGGAAAGCUUUCAAACGCGCAGGGAGAGUGGCCCGCGGCCCAUCAGGUAGUCGGUGGGGUAAUGGCCUACCGAGCCGGUGACGGGUAGCUGGUCUGUGAGGACAGACAGCCAGACUGGGACUGAGACACGGCCCAGACUCCUACGGGAGGCAGCAGCAAGGAAUUUUCGUCAAUGGGCGCAAGCCUGAACGAGCAACGCCGCGUGGAGGAUGACGGCCUUCGGGUUGUAAACUCCUUUUGCGGGGGACGAUGAUGACGGUACCCCGCGAAUAAGGCUCGGCUAACUCUGUGCCAGCAGCCGCGGUAAUACAGAGGAGCCAAGCGUUGUCCGGAUUGACUGGGCGUAAAGCGCACGCAGGCGGUCGCGCGCGUGGGGUGUGAAAUCUGGCCGCUUAACGGCCAGGCGCCAUCCCAUACGGCGCGACUGGAGGGCUGCAGAGGUCGAUGGAAUUGCCGGUGUAGUGGUGAAAUGCGUAGAGAUCGGCAGGAACACCCAGGGGGAAACCAGUCGACUGGGCAGCACCUGACGCUGAGGUGCGAGAGCGUGGGGAGCGAACCGGAUUAGAUACCCGGGUAGUCCACGCCGUAAACGAUGGCCACUCGGCCUUUGGGGGCGGAAUCUCCGUCCGUGGGGGCCUUAGCUAACGCGGGAAGUGGCCCGCCUGGGAACUACGAGCGCAAGCUUAAAACUCAAAUGAAUUGACGG
Molecule: ribosomal RNA, 880 nt
Filed under: uncultured bacterium
Lineage: Bacteria
Description: bacterial SSU rRNA
Rfam family: Bacterial small subunit ribosomal RNA
Source: RNAcentral